Molecule: ribosomal RNA, 1173 nt
Filed under: Salmonella enterica
Lineage: Bacteria; Pseudomonadati; Pseudomonadota; Gammaproteobacteria; Enterobacterales; Enterobacteriaceae
Description: partial 23S ribosomal RNA
Rfam family: Bacterial large subunit ribosomal RNA
Source: RNAcentral
UGUGAGGUUAAGCGACUAAGCGUACACGGUGGAUGCCCUGGCAGUCAGAGGCGAUGAAGGGCGUGCUAAUCUGCGAUAAGCGCCGGUAAGGUGAUAUGAACCGUUAUAACCGGCGAUACCCGAAUGGGGAAACCCAGUGUGAUUCGUCACACUAUCAUUAACUGAAUCCAUAGGUUAAUGAGGCGAACCGGGGGAACUGAAACAUCUAAGUACCCCGAGGAAAAGAAAUCAACCGAGAUUCCCCCAGUAGCGGCGAGCGAACGGGGAGGAGCCCAGAGCCUGAAUCAGCAUGUGUGUUAGUGGAAGCGUCUGGAAAGGCGCGCGAUACAGGGUGACAGCCCCGUACACAAAAGCGCAUGUGCUGUGAGCUCGAUGAGUAGGGCGGGACACGUGGUAUCCUGUCUGAAUAUGGGGGGACCAUCCUCCAAGGCUAAAUACUCCUGACUGACCGAUAGUGAACCAGUACCGUGAGGGAAAGGCGAAAAGAACCCCGGCGAGGGGAGUGAAAAAGAACCUGAAACCGUGUACGUACAAGCAGUGGGAGCCCCACCACUAAGCCAGUGGUGAACUCCACAUACGCAUCCUUUGCUGAGGAUACGGUUAACGGAGCGAAAGCGACGUUCAACCUCAAAAGAAGCAGAGGGGGCUUAGUGGUGGGGUGACUGCGUACCUUUUGUAUAAUGGGUCAGCGACUUAUAUUCUGUAGCAAGGUUAACCGAAUAGGGGAGCCGGAGGGAAACCGAGUCUUAACCGGGCGUUAAGUUGCAGGGUAUAGACCCGAAACCCGGUGAUCUAGCCAUGGGCAGGUUGAAGGUUGGGUAACACUAACUGGAGGACCGAACCGACUAAUGUUGAAAAAUUAGCGGAUGACCUGUGGCUGGGGGUGAAAGGCCAAUCAAACCGGGAGAUAGCUGGUUCUCCCCGAAAGCUAUUUAGGUAGCGCCUCGUGAAUUCAUCUCCGGGGGUAGAGCACUGUUUCGGCUAGGGGGCCAUCCCGGCUUACCAACCCGAUGCAAACUGCGAAUACCGGAGAAUGUUAUCACGGGAGACACACGGCGGGUGCUAACGUCCGUCGUGAAGAGGGAAACAACCCAGACCGCCAGCUAAGGUCCCAAAGUCAUGGUUAAGUGGGAAACGAUGUGGGAAGGCCCAGACAGCCAGGAUGUUGGCUUA